AUUGAACGCUGGCGGCAGGCCUAACACAUGCAAGUCGAGCGGUGCGGCGGACGGGUGAGUAAUGCCCAGGAAUCUGCCUGGUCGUGGGGGAUAAUGUCCGGAAACGGGCGAUAAUACCGCAUACUCUCAGACGAGCCUAGGUCGGAUUAGCUAGUUGGUGGGGUAAAGGCCUACCAAGGCGACGAUCCGUAACUGGUCUGAGAGGAUGAUCAGUCACACUGGAACUGAGACACGGGCCAGACUCCUACGGGAGGCAGCAGUGGGGAAUAUUGGACAAUGGGCGAAAACCUGAUCCAGCCAUGCCGCGUGUGUGAAGAAGGUCUUCGGAUUGUAACGCACUUUAAGUUGGGAGGCGUUACCAACAGAAUAAGCACCUGCUAACUCCGUGCCAGCAGCCGCGGUAAUAC
This 407-nucleotide ribosomal RNA is filed under the name uncultured bacterium. Its description in RNAcentral is "partial 16S ribosomal RNA". It matches the Rfam family "Bacterial small subunit ribosomal RNA", at positions 30 to 526 of the family's 1533-position model. The record is from RNAcentral.